UGGGGAAUAUUGGACAAUGGGCGAAAGCCUGAUCCAGCCAUGCCGCGUGUGUGAAGAAGGCCUUUUGGUUGUAAAGCACUUUAAGUGGGGAGGAAAAGCUUGUGGUUAAUACCCAUAAGCCCUGACGUCACCCACAGAAUAAGCACCGGCUAACUCUGUGCCAGCAGCCGCGGUAAUACAGAGGGUGCAAGCGUUAAUCGGAAUUACUGGGCGUAAAGCGCGCGUAGGUGGUUAUUUAAGUCAGAUGUGAAAGCCCCGGGCUUAACCUGGGAACUGCAUCUGAUACUGGAUAACUAGAGUAGGUGAGAGGGGAGUAGAAUUCCAGGUGUAGCGGUGAAAUGCGUAGAGAUCUGGAGGAAUACCGAUGGCGAAGGCAGCUCCCUGGCAUCAUACUGACACUGAGGUGCGAAAGCGUGGGUAGCAAACAGGAUUAGAUACCCUGGUAGUCCACGCCGUAAACGAUGUCUACCAGUCGUUGGGUCUUUUAAAGACUUAGUGACGCAGUUAACGCAAUAAGUAGACCGCCUGGGGAGUACGGCCGCAAGGUUA
Molecule: ribosomal RNA, 549 nt
Filed under: uncultured bacterium
Lineage: Bacteria
Description: bacterial SSU rRNA
Rfam family: Bacterial small subunit ribosomal RNA
Source: RNAcentral